RNAcentral lists this ribosomal RNA (484 nucleotides) under uncultured bacterium. RNAcentral describes it as "partial 16S ribosomal RNA". It matches the Rfam family "Bacterial small subunit ribosomal RNA", at positions 30 to 507 of the family's 1533-position model. The record is from RNAcentral.
AUUGAACGCUGGCGGCAGGCCUAACACAUGCAAGUCGAGCGGAUGAAGGGUGCUUGCUCCUGGAUUCAUCGGCGGACGGGUGAGUAAUGCCUAGGAAUCUGCCUGGUAUUGGUGUAUAACGUCCGUUAACGGGCGCUAAUACCGCAUACGUCCUGGUGUAGAAAGUGGUGGAUCUUCGGACCUCUCGCUAUCAGAUUAGCCUAGGUCGUAUUAGCUAGUUGGUGGGGUAAAGGCCUACCAAGGCUACGAUCCGUAACUGGUAUGAGAGGAUGAUCAGUCACACUGGAACUGAGACACGGUCAAGACUCCUACGGGAGGCAGCAGUGGGGAAUAUUGGACAAUGGGCGAAAGCAUGAUACAGCAAAGCCGCGUGUGUGAAGAAGGUCUUCGGAUUGUAAAGCACUUUAAGUUGGGAGGAAGGGAAGUAAGUUAAUACCUUGAUGUUUUGACGUUACCAACAGAAUAAGCACCGGCUAACUUCGUG